CCUACGGGUGGCAGCAGUGAGGAAUAUUGGUCAAUGGGCGAGAGCCUGAACCAGCCAAGUCGCGUGAGGGAGUACUGCCCUAUGGGUUGUAAACCUCUUUUGCCGGGGAGCAACAGCCGGACGUGUCCGGCUGUGAGAGUACCCGAUGAAAAAGCAUCGGCUAACUCCGUGCAAGCAGCCGCGGUAUAACGAGGGAUGCGGGCGUUAUCCGGAUUGCUUGGGGUUUAAGGGGGCGCAGGCGGAGUUUUAGGUCAGCGGGAAAGGCGUGGGGCUCAACCCCGUACAGCCGUUGAAACUGGGGGUCUGGAGUGUGCGAGAGGUAUGCGGAAUGCGUGGGGUAGCGGUGAAAUGCAGAGAGAUCACGCAGAACCCCGAUGGCGAAGGCAGCAUACCGGUGCACAACUGACGCUCAGGCACGAAAGCGUGGGUAUCGAACAGGAUUAGAUACCCGGGUAGUC
This 458-nucleotide ribosomal RNA is filed under the name uncultured bacterium. RNAcentral's name for it is "partial 16S ribosomal RNA". It matches the Rfam family "Bacterial small subunit ribosomal RNA", at positions 338 to 795 of the family's 1533-position model. The record is from RNAcentral.